GACGAACGCUGGCGGCGUGCUUAACACAUGCAAGUCGAACGGAAAGGCCCUGCUUUUGUGGGGUGCUCGAGUGGCGAACGGGUGAGUAACACGUGAGUAACCUGCCCUUGACUUUGGGAUAACUUCAGGAAACUGGGGCUAAUACCGGAUAGGAGCUCCUGCUGCAUGGUGGGGGUUGGAAAGUUUCGGCGGUUGGGGAUGGACUCGCGGCUUAUCAGCUUGUUGGUGGGGUAGUGGCUUACCAAGGCUUUGACGGGUAGCCGGCCUGGGAGGGUGACCGGCCACCUUGGGACUGAGAUACGGCCCAGAAUCCUACGGGAGGCAGCAGUGGGGAAUAUUGCACAAUGGGCGGAAGCCUGAUGCAGCAACGCCGCGUGCGGGAUGACGGCCUUCGGGGUGUAAACCGCUUUCGCCUGUGACGAAGCGUGAGUGACGGUAAUGGGUAAAGAAGCACCGGCUAACUACGUG
RNAcentral lists this ribosomal RNA (468 nucleotides) under uncultured bacterium. RNAcentral describes it as "partial 16S ribosomal RNA". It matches the Rfam family "Bacterial small subunit ribosomal RNA", at positions 28 to 507 of the family's 1533-position model. The record is from RNAcentral.